RNAcentral lists this ribosomal RNA (409 nucleotides) under uncultured bacterium. RNAcentral's name for it is "bacterial SSU rRNA". It matches the Rfam family "Bacterial small subunit ribosomal RNA", at positions 28 to 433 of the family's 1533-position model. The record is from RNAcentral.
GAUGAACGCUAGCGGCAGGCUUAAUACAUGCAAGUCGAGGGGCAGCGGGUGUAGCAAUACAUGCCGGCGACCGCGCACGGGUGCGUAACGCGUAUGUAACCUACCUUUAACUGGAGGAUAGCCCCGAGAAAUCGGGAUUAAUACUCCAUAAAAUUAUGAGAAGGCAUCUUUUUAUAAUUAAAGCUCCGGCGGUUUUAGAUGGGCAUGCGUGACAUUAGCUAGUUGGUGAGGUAACGGCUCACCAAGGCUCCGAUGUCUAGGGGUUCUGAGAGGAUUAACCCCCACACUGGUACUGAGACACGGACCAGACUCCUACGGGAGGCAGCAGUAAGGAAUAUUGGGCAAUGGACGCAAGUCUGACCCAGCCAUCGCCGCGUGAAGGAUGACAGCCCUAUGGGUUGUAAACUUC